GCGGUAGUUCGGAUUACUUCUUUAAGUGUCUGUUCUCUUUUUUCGCGCAAAAAUGCCGGAUCCAGCGAAAUCCGCUCCUGCUCCCAAGAAGGGCUCCAAAAAGGCUGUUAAAAGAGUGCAGAAGAAGGACGGCGAGAAGCGCAAGCGCAGCCGCAAGGAGAGCUACUCCGUUUACGUGUAGGAGGUGCUGAAGCAGGUCCACCCCGACACCGGCAUCUCGUCCAAGGCCAUGGGCAUCAUGAACUCCUUCGUCAACGACAUCUUCGAGCGCAUCGCGGGAGAGGCGUCCCGCCUGGCGCACUACAACAAGCGCUCCACCAUCACAUCCCGUGAGAUCCAGACGGCCGUGCGCCUGCUGCUGCCCGGCAAGCUGGCCAAGCACGCCGUGUCCGAGGGCACCAAGGCGGUCACCAAGUACACCAGCUCGAACAUUUUCUAGCUGAAGUUACUGUUGUUGUCAACUACUCAGCAUCCAAAAUUUUCACAAGAAAACAAGGUUUUUUCUCUUCAAAUUACAGUCCAAAGAGUGGCAAACAAGAAAGAUGACAGAGUCCGAAGACCUUAAGAUUUCUUUUCUUUGGUCAAGAACUCAUUACACAAUGGAUGAUACAUCUUAGGUGGUCCUACUAAAAAGAGACACAAGAAUCUAGAGACUAUCUCACUGUCAACCAAUCCAAGGAACUUUGCUUUAGAUGGCCAAAGCCAGAAACAGCAAAGUAGAAGAACUACUAGAGCUUUAAGCAGUUCCUUAGUAUUUUUCCUUGGCUUAUCCAAGCCUGGAUACUGGUCCACUUUCCCAAAGUUGGUAAAGAGGUAAUACAGCUUGGGAUUGAUUGGAUAUUGAGACAGAAAGAGAGGGGGAGAGAGAGAUAUCUAGGUACUGGAGCAGCACUAGGCACUCAGAAGAAGGAACACUUGGAGCAAAAAAUGAAGGAUAUAGAUUAGUGAAGUGAAGUCAGGAGCAAAUGAUCUCAGUUGCUUUACAUGAUCAAAGGACAAUAACUGCAAAUUGCCAGAGGGUAGGUGAAGCUCCAUAUCACUUUUUAAUAUUAGUGUUUUAAACACCUAGGAAUAGAAUAUACCUAAAGAUAAUAGCUUGAUUUCCCCACACCCACCUUUGCAAUGUUUUGAUUUUGCACAAGUCUUGGUUUCUAGUUUGUGGGAUUAUCAUUUUUCAUUGCAUUGAAGGAAAAUUCUUUAGGCCAGGAGGGAGUCUAAGACUUCAGACACAGCACAGAUACGAUCCUGGGCAAGGGUCAUUCAGUGUUCUUAAGAAAAUUCUAAAUCCUAAGGUGUGAUGGUUAAUAUUAGGUGUCAACUUGAUAGGAUUAAAGGAUGCCUAGAUAGCUAAGUAUUGUUUCUGGGUGUGUCUGUGAGGGUGUUGCCAGAGGAGAUUAACAUUUGAGUCAGUGGACCAGGAGAGGAAGACUCACCCUCAAUGUGGGUUGGCACCAUCCAGUCGGCUGCCAGGGUAGCUACAACAAAGCAGGAGAGAGAAGGUGGGCUAAGCUGGCUUGCAGAGUUCUGGCUUUCAUCCCUCUCCUGUGCUGGAUGCCUCCAUCCAUUCCUCCUGCCUUUGGACAUCAGACUCCAGGUUGUUUGGCCUUUGGACUCUUGGACUUAACACCAGUGGCUUGCCUGGGGCUUUUGGGCCUUAGGCCACAGACUGAAGGCUGCACUAUGGGCUUCCCUACUCUUGAGGCUUUUGGACUCAGACUGAACCACUACUGGCUUCUUUCUUCCUCAGCUUGCAGACGGCCCACCGUAGGACAUUGCCUUGUAAUCAUGUGAGCCAAUUCUCCUUAAUAAACUCCUUUUAAUAUAUCUA
Long non-coding RNA from Homo sapiens (human), 1828 nucleotides. Ensembl annotates it as H2B histone pseudogene 1. Its record names the gene H2BP1. The record is from Ensembl. NCBI's taxonomy places the organism in Eukaryota, Metazoa, Chordata, Mammalia, Primates, Hominidae.